This 786-nucleotide ribosomal RNA is filed under the name uncultured Chloroflexota bacterium. Its description in RNAcentral is "bacterial SSU rRNA". It matches the Rfam family "Bacterial small subunit ribosomal RNA", at positions 585 to 1383 of the family's 1533-position model. Lineage: Bacteria; Bacillati; Chloroflexota. The record is from RNAcentral.
AAGUCAGUUGUGAAAGCUCCCGGCUAAACUGGGAGAGGUCGACUGAGACUGGCUGUCUGGAGUGCGGGAGAGGGGUGUGGAAUUCCGGGUGUAGUGGUGAAAUGCGUAGAGAUCCGGAGGAACACCAGUGGCGAAGGCGGCACCCUGGCCCGCAACUGACGCUGAGACGCGAAAGCAUGGGGAGCGAACGGGAUUAGAAACCCCGGUAGUCCAUGCCGUAAACGAUGCAUACUAGGUGUUCGUGGGGUACAGCCCUGGGAGUGCCGAAGCCAACGCGCUAAGUAUGCCGCCUGAGGAGUACGGUCGCAAGGCUAAAACUCAAAGGAAUUGACGGGGCCCCGCACAAGCAGCGGAGCGUGUGGUUUAAUUCGAGGCUACACGAAGAACCUUACCUGGGUUUGACAUCGCGGUGGUAGGGAACCGAAAGGGAACCGACCUACGGGAGCCGUGACAGGUGCUGCAUGGCUGUCGUCAGCUCGUGCCGUGAGGUGUUCGGUUAAGUCCGCAAACGAGCGCAACCCUCGGGUCUAGUUACAAGUGUCUAGACCGACUGCCCGUGACAAACGGGAGGAAGGUGGGGAUGACGUCAAGUCAGCAUGGCCUUGAUAUCCAGGGCUACACACACGCUACAAUGGGCGGUACAAUGGGUCGCGAAGCCGCGAGGUGGAGCCAAUCCUGAAAAGCCGUUCGUAGUUCGGAUUGCAGGCUGCAACUCGCCUGCAUGAAGUCGGAGUUGCUAGUAACCGCAGGUCAGCUAUACUGCGGUGAAUACGUUCCCGGGGCUUG